RNAcentral lists this ribosomal RNA (376 nucleotides) under uncultured soil bacterium. RNAcentral describes it as "bacterial SSU rRNA". It matches the Rfam family "Bacterial small subunit ribosomal RNA", at positions 26 to 414 of the family's 1533-position model. The record is from RNAcentral.
AGAUUGAACGCUGGCGGCAUGCCUAACACAUGCAAGUCGAACGGGAGUAGCAAUACUCUAGUGGCGGACGGGUGAGGAAUACGUAGGAAUUUGCCCUUAAGUGGGGGAUAACCCGGGGAAACCCGGAUUAAUACCGCAUGACCUCGAAAGAGCAAAGUGGGGGAUCGCAAGACCUCACGCUUUUGGAGAAGCCUACGUCGGAUUAGCUAGUUGGUGAGGUAAUGGCUCACCAAGGCGACGAUCCGUAACUGGUCUGAGAGGAUGAUCAGUCACACCGGAACUGAGACACGGUCCGGACUCCUACGGGAGCAGCAGUGGGGAAUAUGGACAAGUGGGCGCAAGCCUGAUCCGAGCAAUGCCGCGUGUGUGAAGGAAG